Molecule: ribosomal RNA, 801 nt
Filed under: uncultured Pelagibacteraceae bacterium
Lineage: Bacteria; Pseudomonadati; Pseudomonadota; Alphaproteobacteria; Candidatus Pelagibacterales; Candidatus Pelagibacteraceae
Description: bacterial SSU rRNA
Rfam family: Bacterial small subunit ribosomal RNA
Source: RNAcentral
GCUGGCGGCACGCCUAACACAUGCAAGUCGAACGAAGUAGCAAUACUUAGUGGCAGACGGGUGAGUAACAUGUAGGUAUCUGCCCUUUGGCCUGGAAUAACACGAGGAAACUUGUGCUAAUACCGGAUAAGUCUUUACGGAGAAAGCUUUAUGCACCAUUGGAUGAGCCUGCACUUGAUUAGUUUGUUGGUAGGGUAAUGGCCUACCAAGACUUUGAUCAAUAGCUGAUUUGAGAGGAUGAUCAGCCACAUUGGGACUGAGACACGGCCCAAACUCCUACGGGAGGCAGCAGUGGGGAAUCUUGCACAAUGGAGGAAACUCUGAUGCAGCGAUGCCGCGUGAGUGAAGAAGGCCCUUGGGUUGUAAAGCUCUUUCGUCGGGGAAGAAAAUGACUGUACCCGAAUAAGAAGGUCCGGCUAACUUCGUGCCAGCAGCCGCGGUAAUACGAAGGGACCUAGCGUAGUUCGGAAUUACUGGGCUUAAAGAGUUCGUAGGUGGUUGAAAAAGUUGGUGGUGAAAUCCCAGAGCUUAACUCUGGAACUGCCAUCAAAACUUUUCAGCUAGAGUAUGAUAGAGGAAAGCAGAAUUUCUAGUGUAGAGGUGAAAUUCGUAGAUAUUAGAAAGAAUACCAAUUGCGAAGGCAGCUUUCUGGAUCAUUACUGACACUGAGGAACGAAAGCAUGGGUAGCGAAGAGGAUUAGAUACCCUCGUAGUCCAUGCCGUAAACGAUGUGUGUUAGACGUUGGAAAUUUAUUUUCAGUGUCGCAGCGAAAGCGAUAAACACACCGCCUGGGGAGUACG